RNAcentral lists this ribosomal RNA (305 nucleotides) under uncultured bacterium. RNAcentral's name for it is "bacterial SSU rRNA". It matches the Rfam family "Bacterial small subunit ribosomal RNA", at positions 337 to 640 of the family's 1533-position model. The record is from RNAcentral.
ACCUACGGGGCGCAGCAGUGAGGAACAUUGGUCAAUGGACGCAAGUCUGAACCAGCCAUGCCGCGUGCAGGAUGACGGCUCUAUGAGUUGUAAACUGCUUUUGUACGAGGGUAAACCCCGAUACGUGUAUCGGGUUGAAAGUAUCGUACGAAUAAGGAUCGGCUAACUCCGUGCCGGCAGCCGCGGUAAUACGGAGGAUCCGAGCGUUAUCCGGAUUUAUUGGGUUUAAAGGGUGCGUAGGCGGAAGGUUAAGUCAGCGGUCAAAUGUCGGUGCUCAACACCGGCCUGCCGUUGAAACUGGUCUU